GCUAUCCCCUUCUCAUGCUAGUAUUUACAGUAAUUGGCCAACAUAGGUCAUGUACUGGUGCUUUCAAGACAACUGGGAACUCGGGAGAAACGAUGUCAUAUCAUGACGUCAGUGAUCUUCAGGUCAGGAAGUCAGAGCUCGAGAAAGCUACCCGAGUUCCCUUGGAUUGUUCAAAACUAUUUUUGUCUUGAACGCUCGGGAAGUUGGAGAAUUCCGAGUUCCCAGUUGUUUUGAACGCGGCAUUACGAAUCAAGAGACUUCUUUCAGGACUGUGACCUUGGAUUAUAAUGAUGGUGAUGACUGUGAUGAUACAGAGGGAAUCGCUGAACAUGCAACAAAACCAGAAGUCACAGAAGCCAUUUCAAUGAGCCGUCCUCGUAUAACUCCUCCCUCCAGCCUCCUCUGCAACGCACUGUCUGAAUCAAGGACAAGUGCCCAUAAUUCCCACCCGUACGUCAUUAUACACUCUUUUCCCCUUGUACUUUCUCUGAAAUUUCAGCAUGAAUGUUGUAUGUUUAUAAUACGUUAAAAAACUUGCUCGUUACCUAAGGUUAUGCCAUACUUUCUGUUUCAUGCUCUUGUUUGAUGUAGAUAGGCUCUAGCCAAGUACUGUAGUUGAGAUUUCUCAAAGCCUACUGAAAGCCCUUGCUCUUAGGGCCGCUGUGGUUCACUGUGUUUACGCUAUCUGCUUUCAGUUACCACUAAAGCCUUUCAGUGAGGGAUAUGAGGCUGCAUUCCUCAGGGACAGAAUGCGAAGGCUCUGCAGAAGAUCAGGACCUCCUUUCUUGCUGUUCUCCCCUACGGAAAGCCUGGGGGACAUACUGUACAGGAAAACCAAGCAUGUGUUUGACUACACAGUCACGGACAUGAAAGACAAAAAGCCCGAUGUUUCAAGGUGUGGUUCCAAUCUAAACCAGUGUGUUAAACCAGCCCUUCCAGUACGGAAGGGCUUCAAUGUAUCCACAUCUAGGUACAGCCAGAGAAGGGUACAAUCAAUUGAUCAGAUGACGGUGAUCAGAAAAGAUCAUGUCGGUAGGCCUUUACUGAUGCUGAAAGGCAAUGCAAGUCUAACCAACAGUGAUGGAAGCAACAACACGGAUUCAUUUGCUUAUUCAUCCAGACUCACAAAGGGAAAACCAUCAACCUCCUCUCAGCCAGGACCUGUCAUCAGGAUCCCACCAGUAUUAACCAGGAAGCAUUCUGACAUCAUCAGAGAGGAAAGAAAGAGGCACUACUACAAAGACCUGUGUCAGCAGGUGGAGGAGAAGAGACAACAAAAAGCAAGGGAGAGGAGAAGGAUUACCGCCGCCGAACAAACUCACAAUGAGACAAUGCAGUUCUGCACCUGGGGGAUGCCAGGGAGCGGAGCCCCAAACUACCACCUGGACUCUGUGAGAAGGAACAAGUUCAGUUCCACAGAAAUGAUACCCCAGGAACAGCUCCGCUGUAAAGGCUUCAGCGGGAUCCCUUUUCAUCUGCAUGUCAAAUGACGGCCAUUUUAUGGUCCCCCAGCCCAGACGAUUGAUGCUCAGCUCAGACAACUGAUAAACCCAUUAAACUAACGCAGUAGUAGACCAAACACUGCGCUCUGCUGACUUCUGUCCCAUAGGUGGUAGAUAAGUCAUCGAUUAGCUGGAUUUCAGCACUCCUUGGCACUUGUAUCUAUUGAUUAAUUUACUGUUUCAAACUACCAUGCGGGCAUAACCACACUCAAAACAAUUCUGGAACUAAGGUUUUACACAUUCUGAUGGUGUUCAAAUCAGUUGUAAUGGUAGCGAUGCACAUAAACAGUAAGAUAUAUAUAUAUAUAUAUAUAUCAUACACACACAUAAAUGCUACAGUGGUAAUUGACAGAUCGAUAGCAUGGUGAGAUAAUGAAUAGAAACAGUAGCUCACUAAAGAUAAGACUGUACACAAAAAAAAGCUCCUAACUGGUCGCGAAAGUGAUAAGAUACUGUCUGCCUACAGUCAAAGAAUUCUUCUUUUUUUUUUCAUCAUAUUUUAACCAUUUUAUAUGAGUAAUUUUGUAUGUAUAUUGAAGCCAGAGUUGUAGUGAAAUAAAACUCUCCUGUCAGAUUAAGAGACUGGGUG
Molecule: long non-coding RNA, 2091 nt
Filed under: Salmo salar (Atlantic salmon)
Lineage: Eukaryota; Metazoa; Chordata; Actinopteri; Salmoniformes; Salmonidae
Description: lncRNA (ENSSSAG00000082022.1)
Source: RNAcentral